AACCCCCGCAAUGUGAGAAAUCGCGACGGGGGGAUCCCAAGUGCCAUUCUUAACGGGAUGGCUUUUCAUUAGUGUAAAGAGCUUUUGGAAUAAGAGCUGGGCAAGACCGGUGCCAGCCGCCGCGGUAACACCGGCAGCUCUAGUGGUAGCAAUUUUUAUUGGGCCUAAAGCGUCCGUAGCCGGUUUAAUAAGUCUCUGGUGAAAUCCUGUAGCUUAACUGUGGAAUUGCUGGAGAUACUAUUAGACUUGAGAUCGGGAGAGGUUAGAGGUACUCCCAGGGUAGAGGUGAAAUUCUGUAAUCCUGGGAGGACCGCCUGUUGCGAAGGCGUCUAACUGGAACGAUUCUGACGGUGAGGGACGAAAGUUAGGGGCGCGAACCGGAUUAGAUACCCGGGUAGUCCUAACUGUAAACGAUGCGGACUUGGUGUUGGGGUGGCUUUGAGCUGCUCCAGUGCCGAAGGGAAGCUGUUAAGUCCGCCGCCUGGGAAGUACGGUCGCAAGACUGAAACUUAAAGGAAUU
This 520-nucleotide ribosomal RNA is filed under the name uncultured bacterium. RNAcentral's name for it is "bacterial SSU rRNA". It matches the Rfam family "Archaeal small subunit ribosomal RNA", at positions 345 to 866 of the family's 1478-position model. The record is from RNAcentral.